AUGAAAAACGAAUCCUACUCUAUCGAGUCAUGGAAUGUACGUGGAUUAUGAGACCAGGACAAAUGUGCUAAUGUAUUCUAUGAAUUUAACCUCUUGCGCCCAUCUAUCGCUCUGCUCCAAGAAACUAAACUCAACAGACCAGACACCAUAAAACUGCGCUCGAUCUUGCCAUGUUUCCUAGAAUCCAAUAAUCACCUGGACGCAAUCUGAUCUGCAGGUGGCAUUCUCUCCGCGACCAACUCAUGUUGUUUUUCUCUCCUAAGCUGUGACCACCGGUGCUUUACCUCCACCCUAACUCUAUCCUGCCUUGCUUCACAACAUAAUAUCUCGAUCACAAACGUAUAUGCUCCUUCCCAAAGAGAUCUAAAACUAGAGUUCUUAGAAGAACUUAAACAAAUUGAACCAUAGCCAGAAUCACCCUGGUUACUCAUCGGUGACUUCAACUUAAUCUGAUUCCCUAAUGAAAAAAACAACAACAACUUCCACCGGUCCGAAGCUGAUGCGUUCAACGACACCAUUGAUCGACUUGCGCUUCUCGAACUUCCUCUCCUCGACCGCCAAUUCACAUGGUCAAAUAAGAGGACGUCUCCCACUCUAGAACGGCUUGAUCGAGUUCUUAUAAACCUAGCCUGGGAUACACUCUUCCCUAACUCACAUCUUACCUCUCUCACUCGCUUUGCCUCUGAUCAUGUACCACUCCUAGUCACCGUCUCCACAACCAUUCCAUCUUCCCGCCUUUUUCGGUUUGAACGCUUUUGGACCUCGUUCCAGGCCUGCAAAGGUAUCAUUCAAAACACUUGGCGGCCCAAUGGAGAAAACAGCCCUGUGCCUGCUGCGGACUCUGCCGCCUGCCUCGCCCAAAAUUUUAAAAAACCCGAUCGGCUCUCAAGAAUUGGUCCAAAUCACUUCGGUCCAUCUACCAAAGAGAGGCAAACUGCAAACCCGUAA
RNAcentral lists this ribosomal RNA (948 nucleotides) under Triticum aestivum (bread wheat). RNAcentral describes it as "partial small subunit ribosomal RNA". The record is from RNAcentral. Lineage: Eukaryota; Viridiplantae; Streptophyta; Magnoliopsida; Poales; Poaceae.